Molecule: ribosomal RNA, 508 nt
Filed under: Typton cf. distinctus BOLD:ACT9785
Lineage: Eukaryota; Metazoa; Arthropoda; Malacostraca; Decapoda; Palaemonidae
Description: partial 16S ribosomal RNA
Rfam family: Archaeal large subunit ribosomal RNA
Source: RNAcentral
UCUGUUUGUAUCGAUGGAUAGUCUAACCUGCCCACUGAGUUAUUAAAGGGCCGCGGUAUCUUGACCGUGCGAAGGUAGCAUAAUCAGUAGCUUUUUAAUUGAAGGCUUGUAUGAACGGUUGGAUGAGGGACAUACUGUCUCUUUCUUUCAAUAAAAAUUAACUUUUGAGUGAAAAGGCUCAAAUUUUCUGAAGUGACGAUAAGACCCUAUAAAACUUUAUAAUUUCUAUUUAAAGUUGAUAAUUUCGUUUAAAUCAAUCUUAUAUAGAACUUAUUUUGUUGGGGAAACAGUGAUAUAAUUGUUGUAAUUGUCUGUGAAAUUUAAUAAUUAUAAUUAGAGUGUGAUCCCUUUUUGGGGAUUAAAAGAUUAAGUUACUUUAGGGAUAACAGCGUGAUUUUUUCUGAGAGUUCUUAUCGACGAUAUUAGUUGCGACCUCGAUGUUGAAUUAAAACUUCUGGUUGGUGUAGCAGCUUGCCUAGUAGGUCUGUUCGACCUUUAAAGUUUUACA